Molecule: ribosomal RNA, 245 nt
Filed under: uncultured Blastopirellula sp.
Lineage: Bacteria; Pseudomonadati; Planctomycetota; Planctomycetia; Pirellulales; Pirellulaceae
Description: partial 16S ribosomal RNA
Rfam family: Bacterial small subunit ribosomal RNA
Source: RNAcentral
GACGAACCGUCCAAACGUUAUUCGGAAUCACUGGGCUUAAAGGGUGCGUAGGCGGCGCGGAAAGUUGGGUGUGAAAUCCCUCGGCUCAACCGAGGAACUGCGCCCAAAACUACCGUGCUCGAGGGAGAUAGAGGUGAGCGGAACUUAGGGUGGAGCGGUGAAAUGCGUUGAUAUCCUAAGGAACACCGGUGGCGAAAGCGGCUCACUGGAUCUCUUCUGACGCUGAGGCACGAAAGCUAGGGUAG